Molecule: long non-coding RNA, 734 nt
Filed under: Androctonus crassicauda
Lineage: Eukaryota; Metazoa; Arthropoda; Arachnida; Scorpiones; Buthidae
Source: RNAcentral
AAACAAUGAAAAGUAUCAUAAUAGAAACAAAAUUUACUACAAUAAGAAAAGAAAAGAUGUUGAAUUCCGUAAAGAAGAUAUGGUAAUUAUAGAAGAUAAAAACCCUCUAAAUAGAAGAAAAUUGGAUGUCUUGAGAAGAGGACCAUUCCGGGUUAUAAAGAAGAUAUCUUAUGUUAUAUACGAAGUCGGGAACAAUACAAAUAAGAAGACAUAUACUGUACAUAUUGCAAGGAUUCAACCAUUUAUUAUUUAUUUUAUUCAAAGGGGGAUAUAACGGUCAAAAGCAACCGUUAGAAAAAGAGGACAAAAGUUGUAAAAUCAGGGAAAAAGAAGUGAUUGGGAGCACAGAAACAAAGAGGGGUGUAAAGGAGGAGGACGAAUAAAGUUUUUUGAAAUAAUUCAUUGGUGUUGUUGUUACAUAUAUAAAUACAAUACACACUACAAUACAUUAAUCUUAUCCCAUAAGACAAAGCUUAAUAAAGGAAUAAAAAUGAGAAAAAACAAUGAUUAAAAAUUAUAUCAAAUGCUUGUUGUUGAAUUAAUAUCUUAUUAAAAAAAUUUUUUUGUAUACAGGCAUGCCUUGACUUGCAUAAUUGAUUGUUCUGCAAAAUCUUUAUUUAAAUUAAAUCUAUGCAUGUCAAGCAUAUUUUAUAGAGUACUAGUGAAUCACAAAGACGACAAUAAAAAUGUGCUUAUUGUUUAAUAUAACUAAGUCACAUGGUACCAUUUUGGAG